Molecule: ribosomal RNA, 459 nt
Filed under: uncultured bacterium
Lineage: Bacteria
Description: bacterial SSU rRNA
Rfam family: Bacterial small subunit ribosomal RNA
Source: RNAcentral
AGGCAGCAGUUAGGAAUAUUGGACAAUGGGGGGAACCCUGAUCCAGCCAUGCCGCGUGUGUGAAGAAGGCCUUUUGGUUGUAAAGCACUUUAAGCGAGGAGGAGGCUCCUGUAGAUAAUACCUACAGUGAGUGGACGUUACUCGCAGAAUAAGCACCGGCUAACUCUGUGCCAGCAGCCGCGGUAAUACAGAGGGUGCGAGCGUUAAUCGGAUUUACUGGGCGUAAAGCGUGCGUAGGCGGCUGAUUAAGUCGGAUGUGAAAUCCCUGAGCUUAACUUAGGAAUUGCAUUCGAUACUGGUCAGCUAGAGUAUGGGAGAGGAUGGUAGAAUUCCAGGUGUAGCGGUGAAAUGCGUAGAGAUCUGGAGGAAUACCGAUGGCGAAGGCAGCCAUCUGGCCUAAUACUGACGCUGAGGUACGAAAGCGUGGGGAGCAAACAGGAUUAGAUACCCCAGUAGUCC